Molecule: ribosomal RNA, 253 nt
Filed under: uncultured bacterium
Lineage: Bacteria
Description: partial 16S ribosomal RNA
Rfam family: Bacterial small subunit ribosomal RNA
Source: RNAcentral
UACGGAGGGUGCGAGCGUUGUCCGGAAUCACUGGGCGUAAAGGGCGCGUAGGCGGCCUGAUAAGUCCGCUGUGAAAGUCCAGGGCUCAACCCUGGGAUGCCGGUGGAUACUGUCGGGCUCGAGUCCGGAAGAGGCGAGUGGAAUUCCUGGUGUAGCGGUGAAAUGCGCAGAUAUCAGGAGGAACACCGGUGGCGAAGGCGGUUCUCUGGGCCUGUACUGACGCUGAGGAACGAAAGCGUGGGGAGCGAACAGG